RNAcentral lists this ribosomal RNA (253 nucleotides) under uncultured bacterium. RNAcentral's name for it is "partial 16S ribosomal RNA". It matches the Rfam family "Bacterial small subunit ribosomal RNA", at positions 524 to 776 of the family's 1533-position model. The record is from RNAcentral.
UACGAAGGGGGCUAGCGUUGCUCGGAAUUACUGGGCGUAAAGGGCGCGUAGGCGGUGUGUCAAGUCAGGCGUGAAAGCCCCGGGCUCAACCUGGGAACCGCGCUUGAGACUGGCACGCUAGAGUUCGGGAGAGGAUGGUGGAAUUCCCAGUGUAGAGGUGAAAUUCGUAGAUAUUGGGAAGAACACCGAUGGCGAAGGCAGCCAUCUGGACCGACACUGACGCUGAGGCGCGAAAGCGUGGGGAGCAAACAGG